CCUGUUGUUGGGCCAUGUAAAGGCACCUUCCCACGCUGGUUCUAUGAUGCAGUCGCUGGAGUGUGUAAACAUUUCAUCUACGGGGGCUGCAAGGGAAACCACAACAACUUCCUGCAGGAGACAGACUGCAUUAACUGAAUGCAUACAGAAAAGUCUUCUAUCAAGCAAACAACAAUGGCCCCUGCCCCAAGCAAAUACACAGAAGCAGCUACGGCCCCUAAAAUGGGAGUAAACCUGAGAGUGAAAUCCCAAUAUCCAAACCAUACACAGUGAUGGGAGCACACCCAGUGCCUGCGUCAGGUGCGAUUCUUCCAUUAGCUUUCGGUCUGAUCAUCACAGCCCUCCUGCUGCUCAUGAUUGGCUGUCGCCUGAGGCUGGUCCGCCACAAGAUGAAGAAGGCCCGACCUCUCACUACUGAGGAAUCUGAUUACCU
Osmerus eperlanus (European smelt) is the source of this 433-nucleotide long non-coding RNA. RefSeq lists it as uncharacterized. The transcript is spliced from 4 exons. The record is from RefSeq and is a predicted model, not a curated record. Lineage: Eukaryota; Metazoa; Chordata; Actinopteri; Osmeriformes; Osmeridae.